Long non-coding RNA from Corapipo altera (White-ruffed manakin), 241 nucleotides. RefSeq lists it as uncharacterized. NCBI's taxonomy places the organism in Eukaryota, Metazoa, Chordata, Aves, Passeriformes, Pipridae. The transcript has 3 exons. The record is from RefSeq and is a predicted model, not a curated record.
UGGAGUGAUAGGACAAGGGGUAAUGGCUUUAAAGUAAAAGAGAGUUCAAUUGGUUCCAUGGAGGGUGGAAUGACCUGUCACUGCAAUUAAGCAGAGUUCAUUGCAAUAUAUUCAACUUGAAUGGAGGCAAAAGAGGACAAUUUCAUGGGAAUGAUCACAUUCACAGACUACACAGCACCUUUCCUACCUGCCCUGAAGCAUCUGACAAGACACCUUCCCUGAAAGUCUGACUUCAGAUUUC